CCCUGUAAACAACAUUUCAGCCGGGCCUUUGCUGAGACACAGCUAAUUUUAUGCCUCAUCAGAAGGACCGCAUUUCACUCCCCAAAAUAAUUUUAAUCCUGCUCCUAAUUCGCCUACAUUAACACUCAGAAGUGAUUAUAGUUGCACAACACGAAGUAAUCAAGUUUAAGCAUUGUACAUGGUGCUCAGCAGUUUCUGCCCAAGGCAGAACAUACCAUCAACAAAUUCGUUAGCAGGGUUGCCCUUUGGAGACCGUCUGUGGAUUUUCUGUUGACAGAAGUAUUUCCUUUAUUCCCAGGGUAUUUGCCCAGAGUAUCCCCUGGAACGCCAAAAGAAAAGCACGAUAAAGAGGCUGCCUUCAUAGCCCUUCAUACACAACUCAGAGUUUGUAUCAGGCCCUCUGGGCCUUUUUGCUUUGCUUUUCAACUCAUCUCAGCUAGUUUACUUUGGGACGGAUCCAGAAGUCCUCACUGAGGCACAGAUUCACCGCCUCCAGAUGACCAGAUCUUGACAGAAGUCUCGGCUCCCAGUAAGCAGACAGCCAAGUCAAUCAGGCUACCUCUCUGCUAAUCAAUUAAAAGUGCCAUGGACUUUUUCCUUGGAUGACGGCCAGCUGGCAGGGGAUGAGCCAUGCCCAUGGCCAUUAACUCCCUCCACCUGCAGAACGAAGGGGCAGGGUCUCUGACCCAUGUGGGCCUGGCCAGGAGCACUGUUGGCAUGGCCCAAAAACAUGGGGAGAUGGCUCCUGGAGCCGAGCAGCACCAGGACUGACCUCCUGCGUGUGGGUAGGGAUGAGUAAUGCCACGCUCAAUUUCCUUAAUGCGGCUCUGUGUCCUUUAUGCAGCAGCGGAGGGACUCGUGUGGUGUAUGGGCUUCCACAGGACCUGCACGUUGCUGCCUUCUGGCCACAUCACGUUUGCUCUCCCCACAGCCCCACCUGGGGUCUGCCCAACGCAGCCUUUGCCAAAGCUCACAGCCAUGGGUGGCAGCAAGCAGCCGGGGGCUGUGGUGGAUAAAACCUGGCACCAUCAGAAGGAAAUGCAGUGUUAAAGCUCCAGGGUCACUGUUGGAGAUG
Molecule: long non-coding RNA, 1075 nt
Filed under: Anas platyrhynchos platyrhynchos (common mallard)
Lineage: Eukaryota; Metazoa; Chordata; Aves; Anseriformes; Anatidae
Description: lncRNA (ENSAPLG00000016994.1)
Source: RNAcentral